CGAAAGAGAAAGAGAAAGAGAGAAAGAAAGAGAGAAAGGAAGAGAAAGAAAGAGAGAGAGGAGAGAAAAGAUAUUCCUGGGAUCGGCAACUAGCCGCCAAAAAUAGAUCCCUUCUACGUAUUCCGUUGAGAACGGUUGAGCCAUCGUUCAACGUCCACAUGCUCCUCGAGUUCUUUUCUUCGUCCUCUAUUUAUGGGUAUAUAACAAUAGAACUAAAUUCUAGUCAUCCGAAUAACCACGCAAUGUACACUCAACGCUGAUGAGUCUACAUUUACUGAACAAUCAACUACCCUACAAUCUAAAUUCGCUCGCCAGAUUUCAAUCCUAAUUUAAAUACCAAACCAACUAUCCCAAAAGAAGUCAAAAGAAGCCAAAAAGACACAGGGCAAGAGUGCAUGAAAAAGAGUACGAAAGGAAUGUAAAAAAAAGAGAGAGAGAGAAAGAGAGAGAGAAAGAGAGAGAGAGAAAGAGAUAGUUUAAAUACAGAAUCGGAUCGCGUCAAAUUGACGGGGAUGAGGAUAAAAGUGCGUUAAAGGGUCGAUUUAUGAGCUCGAGACAGCGUAGGAAGCGCUAGCAAGCACGAGCCUUCGCCCUAAUAAAUAACCAGGCUGCCUGGUUGCCUAGCUGGCUGGUUGGUUGGUUGGUUGGCUGGUUGGCUGACUGGUUGGCUGACUGGCUGGCUGGCUCGUAUAAGGGUGGAUGGGAUGUAGAAGGGAAGAGGGUGAACGCGAUCAUCCCAGCUAUGCGCUAUGCGAAAAGGGGGUAGAAGAGGAGGAGGGAGGAGAGGGAGGACUGAGGAAGGAGACUACUACUACUACUACCANCCUCUCUUGGUAUGGCUAUUCACCAUGAAAACGUGCGAGAGAGGACUUGCGUUCUCGUUAUUGUAGCGAUUUGAAUUGGCCGCCAACGUUGUCCUCAUCCUCAUCGUCGUCGUCAUCGUCGUUCGUCGUCGUCGUCCUCGACUGUUACUACUGUUAGUGCUGCUGACGACGAACCGUACCUCUCUAGGUCCAGUUCCAUUGUCGCGAAUAAUUCUACGAUAUCGUCGGAUUAAACGAUCAUGAGAGAAAGAGGAAGAUAGAGGGAGAAAAGUAAAGGGUAGGGGGAGGAGAAAUGAGAGGAAGAGGUAAUCGUUGUAGCAAGAAUUCGCAGCGUUCGUGCUUUAAAUCGCUCGACACCGAUUUUCACGCUCUUUUAUUCCUCGACCCCUGUCCACUUUUUCUAUCUAUCUCUCUCUUUUUUUUUCUGUGUUAUCCGAAAAAAUUAAAAUUCGACUCUGGUAUUACCAACGACGACGAUCGUUAUUCAACCCGUUUUUUUUCUUUUUUCUUCUUUUUUUGAGUACAUUUUUUUUCUUUCUUUUCCUUCACUUCCUAUUUAAAAUAAUAAUAGUCAAACGAUGCGGUUAAUAAUUAGGGGUAGUUUUGUGAAUAAAUGUGCUGA
This 1446-nucleotide long non-coding RNA is filed under the name Polistes dominula (European paper wasp). Its description in RNAcentral is "uncharacterized LOC107067790, transcript variant X2". The record is from RNAcentral. Lineage: Eukaryota; Metazoa; Arthropoda; Insecta; Hymenoptera; Vespidae.